RNAcentral lists this ribosomal RNA (254 nucleotides) under uncultured bacterium. Its description in RNAcentral is "partial 16S ribosomal RNA". It matches the Rfam family "Bacterial small subunit ribosomal RNA", at positions 524 to 776 of the family's 1533-position model. The record is from RNAcentral.
UACGAAGGGGGCGAGCGUUGUUCGGAAUUACUGGGCGUAAAGGGCGCGCAGGCGGCUCUGAAAGUCAGAUGUGAAAGCCCCGGGCUUAACCUGGGAAUUGCGCUUGAUACUCUGAGGCUUGAGUUCGGGAGAGGUGAGUGGAAUUCCCAGUGUAGAGGUGAAAUUCGUAGAUAUUGGGAAGAACACCGGCGGCGAAGGCGGCCAUCUGGCUCGGUACUGACGCUCAGGCGCGAAAGCGUGGGGGAGCAAACAGG